Molecule: long non-coding RNA, 536 nt
Filed under: Olea europaea (common olive)
Lineage: Eukaryota; Viridiplantae; Streptophyta; Magnoliopsida; Lamiales; Oleaceae
Description: long non-coding RNA (OEUR_LNC009711)
Source: RNAcentral
AAAUGGAUACACAUUUGCAUCCAGUACCAAACCAACCAGUAAUGCAAGAGAAAUCAAGAAGAAACGGCCUAUCUUAUAUGUUGAAGAAGAAAUCUAAGUCCCCUAGACCGAUGAAGAUCAAGAAGGAAAUGAUCCAAGGUCAAUAAAACUUCGGAAAUGCUUAAUCAAUAACCUAAGGUGGAAACUUAGGCCCCGUUUUUAUUUUUUGACCGUUAUUUCACUAUUUCAACCGUAAUUUUUGAUUUCUUAUCUUACAAGUGGCCGCCACUUUUCUCCCAACGGUCAAAAAAUCAAUUUUCAAAAUCACUACCGAAUAGGCCCUUAAAGAAAUAAGGUCACUUGCCUAAAUUUCUUGCUUUUCAAUUUUAAGGUUAAAAAUAGAAUGUGUUUUUGUUUUCUUUCCUAAGUCCCCGCGAAGCAUGAAUUGAUUGAUUUAUUAUGCCCCUAUUUGCUUCUCAUUCUUUUUUCAUUAAAAUGAAAAAUAUGACCGUUAUCCAUCACAUCAAGCCACCAUAUUUGAAAUUUUAUCUCUUGUG